Molecule: ribosomal RNA, 250 nt
Filed under: uncultured bacterium
Lineage: Bacteria
Description: partial 16S ribosomal RNA
Rfam family: Bacterial small subunit ribosomal RNA
Source: RNAcentral
UACGUAGGGCGCAAGCGUUAUCCGGAAUUAUUGGGCGUAAAGAGCUCGUAGGCGGUUUGUCGCGUCUGCCGUGAAAGUCCGGGGCUUAACCCCGGAUCUGCGGUGGGUACGGGCAGACUAGAGUGAUGUAGGGGAGACUGGAAUUCCUGGUGUAGCGGUGAAAUGCGCAGAUAUCAGGAGGAACACCGAUGGCGAAGGCAGGUCUCUGGGCAUUAACUGACGCUGAGGAGCGAAAGCAUGGGGAGCGAAC